Cydia splendana is the source of this 306-nucleotide long non-coding RNA. RefSeq lists it as uncharacterized. The record is from RefSeq and is a predicted model, not a curated record. The transcript has 2 exons. Lineage: Eukaryota; Metazoa; Arthropoda; Insecta; Lepidoptera; Tortricidae.
CACUCGUAUAAGUAUAGUAGUGUAAUGAUUUCUGAAAAUAAGUGUAUUAUAAAACUAAAGGAAUAUAUGACACUGUUUUAAUUACAAAAGCUGUAAAAGACACUCCAUUUAUUACACAGCACAGCUACUAAGAUUAUAAUGCUCUCCAACUAUCCUGUAGGCUGUUUAAAAAUUGUCGCCAUUUUACAAUAAAAAUAAACGUAUUUGUAAAUAUAAUUAAAGAAAUACUUGCAAAUAUUUAGCAGACUAUCGCCGUGUUAUGAUUACCAGCUAAAAUAAAUUGACUUUAGCCUUAGAAUUAAUAUU